This 257-nucleotide ribosomal RNA is filed under the name uncultured bacterium. RNAcentral describes it as "partial 16S ribosomal RNA". It matches the Rfam family "Bacterial small subunit ribosomal RNA", at positions 524 to 777 of the family's 1533-position model. The record is from RNAcentral.
UACGUAGGGGGCGAGCGUUGUCCGGAGUUACUGGGCGUAAAGGGCAUGCAGGCGGUCGGACGCGUUUCGGGUGACAGUGGGUGGCUUAACUACCCGAGCGUCGAAAGACGGUUCGACUUUGAGGACGCGAGAGGGACACGGAAUUCCGGGGUGGAGUGGUGAAAUGCGUAGAGAUCCGGAGGAACACCGAAGGCGAAGGCAGUGUCCUGGCGCGUAACUGACGCUGAGGUGCGAAAAGCCAGGGGGAGCGAACGGGG